UGCCACAUGUGCGUUGACCUCAUUGG
This 26-nucleotide non-coding RNA is filed under the name Homo sapiens (human). The record is from RNAcentral. Lineage: Eukaryota; Metazoa; Chordata; Mammalia; Primates; Hominidae.